CGGUGGAGCAUGUGGUUUAAUUCGAAGAUACGCGAAGAACCUUACCUAGGCUUGACAUUGAUAGAAUCCUAUAGAGAUAUGGGAGUGCCCUUCGGGGAGCUUGAAAACAGGUGCUGCACGGCUGUCGUCAGCUCGUGUCGUGAGAUGUUGGGUUAAGUCCCGCAACGAGCGCAACCCUCGUCCUUAGUUGCUAGCAGCUCGGCUGAGCACUCUAAGGAGACUGCCUUCGUUAGGAGGAGGAAGGUGAGGACGACGUCAAGUCAUCAUGGCCCUUACGCCUAGGGCUACACACGUGCUACAAUGGGGCAUACAAUGAGGAGCAAUACCGCGAGGUGGAGCAAAUCUCUAAAAUGUCUCUCAGUUCGGAUUGUAGUCUGCAACUCGACUACAUGAAGCUGGAAUCGCUAGUAAUCGCAAAUCAGCAAUGUUGCGGUGAAUACGUUCCCGGGUCUUGUACUCACCGCCCGUCACACCAUGGGAGUUGUAUUCGCCUUAAGUCGGGAUACUAA
Molecule: ribosomal RNA, 509 nt
Filed under: uncultured bacterium
Lineage: Bacteria
Description: bacterial SSU rRNA
Rfam family: Bacterial small subunit ribosomal RNA
Source: RNAcentral